This 1346-nucleotide ribosomal RNA is filed under the name uncultured bacterium. RNAcentral's name for it is "bacterial SSU rRNA". It matches the Rfam family "Bacterial small subunit ribosomal RNA", at positions 28 to 1381 of the family's 1533-position model. The record is from RNAcentral.
GACGAACCCUUGAGGCGUGCUUAACAUAUGCAAGUCGAACGGAAAGGCCCUGCUUUUGUGGGGUGCUCGAGUGGCGAACGGGUGAGUAACACGUGAGUAACCUGCCCUUGACUUUGGGAUAACUUCAGGAAACUGGGGCUAAUACCGGAUAGGAGCUCCUGCUGCAUGGUGGGGGUUGGAAAGUUUCGGCGGUUGGGGAUGGACUCGCGGCUUAUCAGCUUGUUGGUGGGGUAGUGGCUUACCAAGGCUUUGACGGGUAGCCGGCCUGAGAGGGUGACCGGCCACAUUGGGACUGAGAUACGGCCCAGACUCCUACGGGAGGCAGCAGUGGGGAAUAUUGCACAAUGGGCGGAAGCCUGGUGCAGCAACGCCGCGUGCGGGAUGACGGCCUUCGGGUUGUAAACCGCUUUCGCCUGUGACGAAGCGUGAGUGACGGUAAUGGGUAAAGAAGCACCGGCUAACUACGUGCCAGCAGCCGCGGUGAUACGUAGGGUGCGAGCGUUGUCCGGAUUUAUUGGGCGUAAAGGGCUCGUAGGUGGUUGAUCGCGUCGGAAGUGUAAUCUUGGGGCUUAACCCUGAGCGUGCUUUCGAUACGGGUUGACUUGAGGAAGGUAGGGGAGAAUGGAAUUCCUGGUGGAGCGGUGGAAUGCGCAGAUAUCAGGAGGAACACCAGUGGCGAAGGCGGUUCUCUGGGCCUUUCCUGACGCUGAGGAGCGAAAGCGUGGGGAGCGAACAGGCUUAGAUACCCUGGUAGUCCACGCUGUAAACGGUGGGUACUAGGUGUGGGGUCCAUUCCACGGGUUCCGUGCCGUAGCUAACGCUUUAAGUACCCCGCCUGGGGAGUACGGCCGCAAGGCUAAAACUCAAAGGAAUUGACGGGGCCCCGCACAAGCGGCGGAGCAUGCGGAUUAAUUCGAUGCAACGCGUAGAACCUUACCUGGGUUUGACAUGGAUCGGGAGUGCUCAGAGAUGGGUGUGCCUCUUUUGGGGUCGGUUCACAGGUGGUGCAUGCCUGUCGUCAGCUCGUGUCGUGAGAUGUUGGGUUAAGUCCCGCAACGAGCGCAACCCUUGUUCACUGUUGCCAGCACGUUAUGGUGGGGACUCAGUGGAGACCGCCGGGGUCAACUCGGAGGAAGGUGGGGAUGACGUCAAGUCAUCAUGCCCCUUAUGUCCAGGGCUUCACGCAUGCUACAAUGGCUGGUACAGAGAGUGGCGAGCCUGUGAGGGUGAGCGAAUCUCGGAAAGCCGGUCUCAGUUCGGAUUGGGGUCUGCAACUCGACCUCAUGAAGUCGGAGUCGCUAGUAAUCGCAGAUCAGCAACGCUGCGGUGAAUACGUUCCCGGGGCU